RNAcentral lists this ribosomal RNA (402 nucleotides) under uncultured bacterium. RNAcentral describes it as "bacterial SSU rRNA". It matches the Rfam family "Bacterial small subunit ribosomal RNA", at positions 28 to 419 of the family's 1533-position model. The record is from RNAcentral.
GAUGAACGCUAGCUACAGGCUUAACACAUGCAAGUCGAGGGGCAUCAGGAAGAAAGCUUGCUUUCUUUGCUGGCGACCGGCGCACGGGUGAGUAACGCGUGGGCAACCUGCCUCAUACAGGGGGAUAACAGUUAGAAAUGACUGCUAAUACCGCAUAAGACCACAGUACCGCAUGGUAUAGUGGUAAAAACUCCGGUGGUAUGAGAUGGGCCCGCGUCUGAUUAGGUAGUUGGUGGGGUAACGGCCUACCAAGCCGACGAUCAGUAGCCGACCUGAGAGGGUGACCGGGCCACAUUGGGACUGAGACACGGGCCCAAACUCCUACGGGAGGCAGCAGUGGGGAAUAUUGCACAAUGGGGGAAACCCUGAUGCAGCGACGCCGCGUGAAGGAUGAAGUAUUUC